AGAGUUUGAUCCUGGCUCAGGAUGAACGCUAGCGGCAGGCUUAACACAUGCAAGUCGAGGGGUAACAGCUUGCACAGAUGACGACCGGCGCACGGGUGCGUAACGCGUAUAGAAUUUGCCUUAUACUGGAGAAUAGCCCGAAGAAAUUUGGAUUAAUGCUCCAUAGCAUUAUAGACUGGCAUCAGUUUAUAAUUAAAGCUCCGGCGGUAUAAGAUGACUAUGCGUUCUAUUAGUUAGUUGGUGAGGUAAUAGCUCACCAAGACUUCGAUAGAUAGGGGCCCUGAGAGGGGGAUCCCCCACACUGGUACUGAGACACGGACCAGACUCCUACGGGAGGCAGCAGUGAGGAAUAUUGGGCAAUGGAGGAAACUCUGACCCAGCCAUGCCGCGUGAAGGAAGAAGGUCCUAUGGAUUGUAAACUUCUUUUAUAUAGGAAGAAAUACAGGUACGUGUACUUGUUUGACGGUACUAUAUGAAUAAGCACCGGCUAACUCCGUGCCAGCAGCCGCGGUAAUACGGAGGGUGCAAGCGUUAUCCGGAAUCAUUGGGUUUAAAGGGUCCGUAGGCGGGCAAUUAAGUCAGAAGUGAAAUCCCACAGCUCAACUGUGGAACUGCUUUUGAUACUGGUUGUCUUGAGUCAUACUGAAGUAGAUAGAAUGUGUAGUGUAGCGGUGAAAUGCAUAGAUAUUACACAGAAUACCGAUUGCGAAGGCAGUCUACUAAGUAUGUACUGACGCUGAUGGACGAAAGCGUGGGGAGCGAACAGGAUUAGAUACCCUGGUAGUCCACGCCGUAAACGAUGGAUACUAACUGUUGGGACUUCGGUCUCAGUGGUCAAGCGAAAGUGAUAAGUAUCCCACCUGGGGAGUACGGUCGCAAGAUUGAAACUCAAAGGAAUUGACGGGGGCCCGCACAAGCGGAGGAACAUGUGGUUUAAUUCGAUGAUACGCGAGGAACCUUACCUGGGCUUAAAUGUAGAGUGCAUAAACGGGAAACUGUUUUUUCCUUCGGGACUUUACAAGGUGCUGCAUGGUUGUCGUCAGCUCGUGCCGUGAGGUGUCGGGUUAAGUCCCAUAACGAGCGCAACCCCUAUCGUUAGUUGCCAGCGAGUCAAGUCGGGGACUCUAACGAGACUGCCGGUGUAAACCGCGAGGAAGGUGGGGAUGACGUCAAAUCAGCACGGCCCUUACGUCCAGGGCUACACACGUGUUACAAUGGCCGAUACAAAGGGCAGCUACCAGGUGACUGGAUGCUAAUCUCUAAAGUCGGUCUUAGUUCGGAUCGAAGUCUGCAACUCGACUUCGUGAAGCUGGAUUCGCUAGUAAUCGUAGAUCAGCAACGCUACGGUGAAUACGUUCCCGGGCCUUGUACACACCGCCCGUCAAGCCAUGGAAGUUGGGGGUACCUGAAGUCUGUCACCGUAAGGAGCGGCCUAGGGUAAAACUGAUAACUGGGGCUAAGUCGUAACAAGGUAGCC
RNAcentral lists this ribosomal RNA (1477 nucleotides) under uncultured prokaryote. RNAcentral's name for it is "partial 16S ribosomal RNA". It matches the Rfam family "Bacterial small subunit ribosomal RNA". The record is from RNAcentral.